This 404-nucleotide ribosomal RNA is filed under the name bacterium. RNAcentral's name for it is "partial 16S ribosomal RNA". It matches the Rfam family "Bacterial small subunit ribosomal RNA", at positions 355 to 776 of the family's 1533-position model. The record is from RNAcentral.
CAAGGAAUUUUCGUCAAUGGGCGCAAGCCUGAACGAGCAACGCCGCGUGCAGGAUGACGGCCUUCGGGUUGUAAACUGCUUUUUCGGGGGACGAUGAUGACGGUACCCCGGGAAUAAGGCUCGGCUAACUCUGUGCCAGCAGCCGCGGUAAGACAGAGGAGCCAAGCGUUGUCCGGAUUGACUGGGCGUAAAGCGCACGCAGGCGGUCUGGCGCGUGGGGUGUGAAAUCUGGCCGCUUAACGGCCAGGCGCCAUCCCAUACGGCCGGACUGGAGCCAUGCAGAGGGCGGUGGAAUUGCCGGUGUAGUGGUGAAAUGCGUAGAGAUCGGCAGGAACACCCAGGGGGAAACCAGCCGCCUGGGCAUGCGCUGACGCUGAGGUGCGAGAGCGUGGGGAGCGAACCGG